UACGUAGGGGGCGAGCGUUGUCCGGAUUUAUUGGGCGUAAAGAGCUCGUAGGCGGCUUGGCAAGUCGGGUGUGAAACCUCCAGGCUCAACCUGGAGACGCCACUCGAUACUGCCAUGGCUAGAGUCCGGUAGGGGACCACGGAAUUCCUGGUGUAGCGGUGAAAUGCGCAGAUAUCAGGAGGAACACCAAUAGCGAAGGCAGCUCGCUGGGACGGUACUGACGCUAAGGCGCGAAAGCGUGGGGAGCGAACAGG
RNAcentral lists this ribosomal RNA (254 nucleotides) under uncultured bacterium. Its description in RNAcentral is "partial 16S ribosomal RNA". It matches the Rfam family "Bacterial small subunit ribosomal RNA", at positions 524 to 776 of the family's 1533-position model. The record is from RNAcentral.